RNAcentral lists this ribosomal RNA (460 nucleotides) under uncultured bacterium. RNAcentral describes it as "partial 16S ribosomal RNA". It matches the Rfam family "Bacterial small subunit ribosomal RNA", at positions 338 to 795 of the family's 1533-position model. The record is from RNAcentral.
CCUACGGGUGGCAGCAGUGAGGAAUAUUGGUCAAUGGACGAGAGUCUGAACCAGCGAAGCAGCGUGAGUGAUGAAGGUUCUAUGGAUCGUAACCCUCUUUUAUAAGGGAAUAAGGUGUGGGACGUGUCCUGUUUUGUAUGUACCUUAUGAAUAAGGAUCGGCUAACUCCGUGCCAGCAGCCGCGGUAAUACGGAGGAUCCGAGCGUUAUCCGGAUUUAUUGGGUGUAAAGGGUGCGUAGGCGGCGUUUUAAGUCAGCGGUGAAAGUCUGUGGCUCAACCAUCGAAUUGCCGUUGAAACUGGGAGGCUUGAGUAUGUUUGAGGCAGGCGGAAUGCGUGGUGUAGCGGUGAAAUGCUUAGAUAUCACGCAGAACCCCGAUUGCGAAGGCAGCCUGCCAAGCCAUGACUGACGCUGAUGCACGAAAGCGUGGGGAUCAAACAGGAUUAGAUACCCUUGUAGUC